AACUCUGCCCGUCAGGGGGUGAUCGCCUGGGAGCGAGACAAGAGGGAGGCCGGUCAGACAUGGGACAAUGCCCCGCUCCCCUCGGUGACCCCCUCUCGCCCUCUGAGUGACCACACCGAGCCUCGGAACCCAGGGGGUCUGNNNNNNNNNNNNNNNNNNNNNNNNNNNNNNNNNNNNNNNNNNNNNNNNNNNNNNNNNNNNNNNNNNNNNNNNNNNNNNNNNNNNNNNNNNNNNNNNNNNNNNNNNNNNNNNNNNNNNNNNNNNNNNNNNNNNNNNNNNNNNNNNNNNNNUGUGCGGCUGUGCUGUCGACGCUUGGCUGUGGCCCAGGCAGCCCUGUGGUGCUCGGGGCCAGGCCCAGAGCCUGACAUAGGGACCCAGCCUGCAACUCUGCGACCCCUCACAAGACAGAACCACCAGGGACGUCCUGACGGGCACGGUGCUGACAGAGCCCUGCGGGGCGCAAGACACAGUCAAGGGUGCCCAAGGAGAGCUGGGCGGGAGCAUACACUCGGGGGUCGCCCCGUGGACCCAGAGCCUUCACUGCCAAGGGCCCCAUGGCCUGGGGCUGCCACGACACACGUGUUUCCCGGCACUGCCCAGCAAAGAGGCCCACGUGGUAUGGAGCAGGCCUCAGGGGCAGCCGGUCAGUCCAGGCAGGAGGGCAAUCGAGGAGCCUUGCUCCCCCCACGCCAGGGCCACCCGGCCCCCACAUGGGCUGAGAGCCAGGGGCAGGGAGGUCUGGGGUCACCAGAGGGUAAACAUGCCAAGGAGGGGUGUCCCAGGCCAGGGGGUGUCCUGUGCCACACAGACUCACUGGAGGUGCGGGAGCGCCGGCUUCUCUGGCCGGGGCAGGACGGGAGGCCGGUCUGCAGCCUCGGGCAUGGGCAGCUUCAGCAGAGGCGGCCGGGGGGCCACAUGGGGCACACGGGGUCCAGGCCUGGCCACCUCCCCCGGGGGACUCUCUUCUACCAUCUUCAGGAACUUGGGCUUGUUGGCUGGCACAGGCGGGGGGUCUGGGGAAAAGAAAAGUCCCUCUAGCUCCUGUCAUUACGGCACAGAGAGACAAACAGAAAGAAGAGCACUUAGAGAAUCUGAGUUUCUGGCUAUUUCCUGGCCAACCUGGCCGAGCCCCUUAACCUUCUGGAGUCUCAGCUACUUCAUCUGUGAAACGGGGACAGCAACAUCAUCCCUGAUUAUCAUACAGAACUGUUGUGAGGACUAAAUAACAGAAUGUGCAAAAAAUGUAUUUAAAGUUGUAUAAAAAAGAAAGAUUCAUACCAUAAAAAAUAUUCCAGGUGCAGGAAAAAAAAAAUGUCCCUCUUCCCGGUGCCCACUGGCAGCCACAGGGCCCUGGAGCCUCCCCUGUCUUCCGCCUGCAGACCUGCCACUGGGCUGGAAGCCAGGAUGUGCACAAAGGCCCAGAAUCACUUCCCAAGGGUCCCCGUCCUGCCACUGACACCAUGGGACCCGUGGGUUCCCCCAGGCAGACAAGGCCAGGCCCUCCUCAGGGGACCAGAGUGUAGUGACCCCAAGGCCUGGGUGGUGUGACCCCAAGACCUAGACCCAGGAAUCACACCCUCCGAGGCUGCGGGCAGGCCCGCACACGCCAACACGCCCCAUCCCAUCCGGGCGCCUGGUCCACGGCCCAGCGGACCAUUAGUCACAAAGCCCCUGGGGGGCAGGCUCGUGGCUGAUUAAAGCCCCAGCGCACAGCCUGGGCCCGCAGGCUGGGCUCCCGGCCAAAAGGAGGUGGCAGUGGGGGAGAGGGCGAGGCAUGGGGAAGAAGGGAGACUUAAGGGAGACUGGAGAGUUCCAACCCUGGAGGAGGCCCUCGCCUCGCCCCCAGGCCCUUGGCCAACCCUGAGGGCUGGCUUUCAGGAGAGGAGGGACUGGCAGAGGUGGGGCUGGUCCAAAGGGCUGGGGUCGCAAACAGGAAGGCCUGGGCCCACCUUAGUGGGAGCCGGGGGGAGCCACUGCCCCCGGCAGCACGGUCAGCGCACUUCCCGGUUGUAGCCGCUCAGCGAGAAGGCGCCCUGCGGCGAGGCGGACGUGCUGCUCUUGAAGUAGUAGAUGCAACGUUUGUGGAUGACCACAAAGCGCAGGGGCCCUGCGGGCGGGGCGGGGCGGGCGAGCCUCAGUCCUGGGCAGGCCCCACUCUGGGGACCAUGCCCAGAGGCCCAGGAUGGCUCCAGGCCAGAGUCUACAUGGGCAGCAGGUCGAUGGGCAUGCAGGCCCCUCCGGGGGCAGGGGGAGAUUCAGGGGACUGUGUGACGCGCCUAGGAACAAGGACUAAAGCUGGCUCAAGGAAGGGCAGACGGGGCCAGCAGCCAGGGAAGCCAGAGCCACCUCGCUGGUGCUGCCCAGCUGCUGGGAGGUGGUGGAAUGAGGGCGGGGGCAAAAAACCCCAGAGAUGCUGCCAACAAGAGUGCCCCACCCCCAUCGCCCAACAUGGAGCUGACCCCAGGUAGUGAUGGUGAGAGCCCCAUCCCUGAGCAGCUCCUCCUAGGCCCGGGAGCAGCUCAGCUGCAGGCCCUCGUUGGAGCCUCCAGUUCAGAAGAGGAGAAGGGAGACACCAAACCAGUCAGCCUGGGGCACCUCAACCAGGCAGCACAGAGUCAGGGAGUCCCUGGCAGAGGGCACAGCUCGAGCAACCCCAUGGGACCUCGCAGCUGGUUAGAGGGACGGACAAGGCCCUGAUGCUCUUGGGCCUUCAGUGUCUCGAAGCCCGGCACCUCCCAGGCCUGGGGGCUCCCCCUCUCCCAGUCUGCUGUCCUAGGGACCAGAGCCCCGGUCUCAUGAAGCUCUCCAGAGACCCAGCGCCCAGAUGGGUGUUGGCUUGGCACCUGGGUUCACUACGGACAGAGUGACUGAUUCACUGAACACCGAACUGAUACGGUGAGGGCACCAUCCAGGAGCCAGACCUACCAGACCAACAAGGGCCCACAGCUCCUGGCCAGCUGGUCAGCAUUGUGUGUCCGAUGCCCUCCAGUCUCCCCCAGCUGCAUCACCACAGACCCUCCCACAGCCCUGGGGGCUAAAAAGGACAAGUUCAGGGCACGGGGGUGCAUGAGCAGAGACAGACGGGAAACUCCAGAGGGCCCAUGGCGAGGAAGGAAGCAGAGGCGCAGGAAGGCGGGUUACCUGCCACAGAGGCCCAAGAAGGCUCAGCCCUAUCCCCGGGGCCUCCCUUCAUGCCCCCCACCCCCACACAGGAGACUCACAUUUGAGUAGCUGCAGCUGGGUCCCGCCUUUCUUGUGCAGGUAGCCAGCCUUGGCCACACCCCCAGGCAUGGUGAGCAAGUUCUGCGCACCGAUGGCCUUCAUAGGCACAGGCCAGUGCGUCUCUUCAGCCGCCAUGAAGCUACGAUACAAAGGGAAGGGGACGUGUCUUAGCUGGGGAUGGGAACACACUACUGCCGGCCGUGGCCAGGACAACCGUGUGUUGGCUUGGCUGGGACACACCCCGUCAGCCUGGGGCAUCACUCAGGAAGGGACCACAUAGUGCGGUCACCGGGGACAGGCUGCCUGCCUAGGGGUUGACACAGGACCCUCCAUCCCGGGACCCCACUCCACGGCCUCUUCCUCCUGUUCCAGCCGCUCUCCCAGAAAUCUGGCAGGCUCUUCCAGUCUCACACUUCCAGCCUGCGCCUGGAAUGACUGCUAUCCCUCCUCACAGGGAGAACUCCUACUCGUCCCUCAAAUCGAAGAUUCAGAUGCCCUCCUCUGUGAGGCACCUCAAUGCCCAGUCACAUUCCAGCUCACCCUCUACUCCUGGUCCCUCUGAACUGCAGCCCGGACCCUGUGCUGUUAUCUCCAGUGCCUGGCCCCCUCCCACCCGCACCUGGUCCCUCCUGGGUCCACAGUGAAGCUGGAGGAGUCAGGGUCAGACCCAGAAGCCCAGUCUUACUGGAACUGCUGCCCCAUCCUCAGACACACACACACACACACCCCCAGAGAAAACCACUGCUCUCGGCAAACCUGAGUGCUCCACCGAACGUUGGCUGCCUCCCGUCUGCCCGGACGCCUACUCCUCCCUGGGGCCCCGGCCUCGGCCUCUGCCCAGGUCCCGAGGGCUGCCCCUCCAGCUUCCCCUGCACACAAAGCCAGCCCUCGGUCCUGCGUCCCGCAGCAGCGGAGGCUAUGACAAAA
Molecule: long non-coding RNA, 4149 nt
Filed under: Ovis aries (sheep)
Lineage: Eukaryota; Metazoa; Chordata; Mammalia; Artiodactyla; Bovidae
Description: lncRNA (ENSOARG00000026621.1)
Source: RNAcentral